AGAGUUUGAUCAUGGCUCAGAAUGAACGCUGGCGGCGUUAACACAUGCAAGUCGCACGAGAACGCUUCAGCUUGCUGAAGCUAGUAAAGUGGCGCACGGGUGAGUAACGCGUGGGUAAUCUAUCUCUGAAUUGGGGAUAACAUUGCGAAAGCGAUGCUAAUACCGGAUGAUAUCCAUUAAACCUCGGUUUUUUGGAUCAAAGGUGGCCUCUACAUGUAAGCUACUGUUUGGAGACGAGCCCGCGUACCAUUAGCUUGUUGGUAGGGUAACGGCUUACCAAGGCAACGAUGGUUAGCUGGUCUGAGAGGAUGAUCAGCCACACUGGAACUGACACACGGUCCAGACUCCUACGGGAGGCAGCAGUGAGGAAUUUUGCGCAAUGGGGGAAACCCUGACGCAGCAACGCCGCGUGAGUGAUGAAGGCUUUCGGGUCGUAAAGCUCUGUCAAGUGGGAAGAACCCGCGCCGCACAAAUAGUGCGGGGCGCUGACGGUACCACUGAAGGAAGCACCGGCUAACUCCGUGCCAGCAGCCGCGGUAAUACGGGGGGUGCAAGCGUUAUUCGGAAUCAUUGGGCGUAAAGAGCGCGUAGGCGGUCUUCUAUGUCAGGUGUGAAAGCCCGGGGCUCAACCCCGGAAGUGCACUUGAAACUGGGAGACUUGAGUAUGGGAGAGGGAAGUGGAAUUCCUGGUGUAGCGGUGAAAUGCGUAGAUAUCAGGAGGAACACCGGUGGCGAAGGCGACUUCCUGGACCAAUACUGACGCUGAGGCGCGAAGGCGUGGGGAGCAAACAGGAUUAGAUACCCUAGUAGUCC
Molecule: ribosomal RNA, 813 nt
Filed under: uncultured bacterium
Lineage: Bacteria
Description: bacterial SSU rRNA
Rfam family: Bacterial small subunit ribosomal RNA
Source: RNAcentral